CAGCUCACUACAACCUCCCUUCAGGAAGUUAUAGAGAGCUGUAAGGUCUCCCCUGAGCCUCCUCCAGGCUGGACAUUCCCAGCUCCUUCAGCUUCUCCUCAAGAAGAGCAUGUUUCUUGGAAAUAGCACCCAGUUCCCUCAGAAACCUCAAGCCAUGUCACAUUCACACCCAGCCACGUCAAGGUGGCUUCUAGGCCUGACACUCGCUGCUGUGAAGGAGAAUGGGAUCCAGCUGCCCAGCUGUCUUCAGGAGAGCUGCCGAAGCAGAUUCAGUAGCUGAGAACUUCUCUUUGCCCGCCAAGGAAGGUGGUGCGGCCGCCAGCUGCGGUUGCUCAGAGCCGCUUGGACAUCAGAGCAGUGCCGGCGCAGCCACUGCCAGACAGGGGUGUUGCGUUUAUCCUCUGGAGGAGCUGCUAGCCAUUGCCACGAACAAAGGGACUUUGUUCAGAUCCAUUCAACAUAACCUAUGAGAUGCGCAGAACACCGCAGUAGAGGCAGUGAGAAAGAAGUGUGUCUGGAAGGGAGAUAACUGCAAAGAGCUCUACAGCAGGGAAAAUAACAUCAUUGGAUCUGGGAAACUCUGCAGGGAUAAUGAAAACCUUCUUUAAACAUAGUGGUCACAGGGUAUGGGUUGCCACAUUCCUCACCCUCUGCAGCAGGAGAGGUUUGGUUCUGCUUCAUGGCAAAGGGGAAGCCUGUCUGUCUUUGAAGCUUUUGGACUCAACCAGCCGGCAUGGGAAGAACCACAGCUUGCUCCCACCAGUGGGUGCUGCUCCCCUUGACCUAAAACUGGCACUUGGUUACAAGGAGACCUGAAUGGAUGAAGGAGCAUGGGCAGAGGUUAAACCAGACAGCUUUGCUCUGAAGACUUUAAUACAACUGAGUCAAUCUGCCAUGGCUGGACCACACUGAUGUCAUUUGCACCAGCUCUGCAUGGCUGCAAGGAGGCAGGCUGACAGUGCAACACAUUGUGUUGCGGUUAGAACACGUGCAUGGGGUAGGAGUGAGCUCUAACACCUCCUAAUCAUAAUGCAAACUUAUGCUGAGUGCCCCAUGGACUGCCAGCUUCCUGAAGCCCCUGGUGCUGCGACACUGCUGUUUUGAUCAGCUACUAUGUGGUAUACAUUAACUAGCACACAUUAAUGUCCUGGGAUUGAUGGGGAAAUUGUGGUCAGACCCACCACAGCCAGAUACUUUUAGCUAGCCCAGAUUUGAUUAACCAGCACGUGUUACCAUCACAAGGCGUGAUGCCCAAUUUUAGACUUUGGCACAGGUCAGUGAUACAUUUUUUCUCCUAAACACCAUCUCUGAGAGCUACAAGACUUACUACCUGUGCUGUAGGAAAUGGGCAUUUUUUAUCAGGAACAUCUCAAUUUAGAAUUGCAGUGCCACCAAAGCAGUUUUUAGUGCUCACGUCAUCAAAGGUUAUCGAGAGCCUUGAUGUGAUUUCACUAGCUCAGACUGAGAACUUUUCUUGUGAGCAAAGGCAAUUUUAGGUGAAUAAUUACUGCAGCAAAGGUGAAGAUUUACUGGGGUGGCUCAGGAUGCUUCUAAUCCCCCUGAUGCCGGGAAGCAGGAUGCAUCACCAUGUUGUGUGUAUGUCAUUCAGCCACUGCCUCCUGCACUGUCUCACAGAUUGGGCUGUUAAUGCGGCUCUGAUUACAGCAUCCUAAGAGUGGCGGAUUUGCUUCCAUGUUCUUGCAUCACAGUAUUAACCUGCCCUGACAUUGCUUCCUUCCAGGGACCUGAGGUCAGUUCACUGCAGAGUUUACACCCAAGUGUACAACAGACAUAGAGGCACAUCUCAGUAACUUCUGUUCUGCAUAACAAGCCUUAGUUUCUACUCCUAAAUAUGUUGUGUGUGUAUGUGUGCAUAUAUAUCACAUGUAGAAUAUCACAGAUGCAGUGCUGUGUCUAUGUGUAUUAAGCCCCCCUUCCCCUUGUGUGCCUUAAUGGGAGAAAACUCAAGUGUAGUUCUGUUUCUGGUAUCGAGUCAUACCCACCACAGCUGGACAUAUUGCUACCACAUCCUGCUCAUUGGAGGAGACAUUCUGCAUAUUUAAAGCCUGUAAAUAAUUGCACAUUCGGUACUGUGCUGUUAAGAAAAACAUAUAAUGCUCUUGUAGUCUCAGCAACUUCAGUGUGUAAGAAGUCAGCAAAGCAGCUAGUGGUCCCCAGGCUCACGCAUCAAAGCAUUUAGCUGCUUUCACGUGAUUAUUGACAGAAAUGGCAACUUUUAUUUUAAAACCACCCAUGAUCUGAUCUCGAGAUCUAUUUGGAUCUUCAGUCCCCAUGGCAAUAGCAUCUUAAAUCCUGAAAAUAACAACGUUCACAGCUAUUUUGACUGGAUAAACCAGACGACACGCGCAUAAGGCUAAACAUAUGGGUACAUGUUUGCAGUGAGAGGAUUUCUUUUCAGCCAUGAAAGUAAAUAGCUAUUUUCUGAGCACACAGAGAGAUCUGCUCUACCGGGUCAAACGUGUCAAGUGCGGGAGUGCUAUUUUUACAUUGCCACUUUUUAAAGUAGGCCGGCAUUCAUCUUUUUGAAUGGCUUCCUGAUGGUAUCAGAUGUGUUCCGUGUACUGUGAACCCAUUCGGCUUUAAUCUUCUCAGCAAAAUACCACUGAAAUGGUGACAUGGGAGAGGAGAGGUAGCAAAAUGGAUCCUGGCCUCACUUUGUAUCUUUAUGUGUUUCCCCUUCGGACUGAAGCGUUUAAUCACAAUAGGAAGGCCUGUCGGGCUGUUUCUGUUACGCAUAGGAACCUGUUUUGAUUCCUGAUGCUGCCUCAAGUAUUUGGAGAUAGCAUAUGACAAUGCAAGAAUCAUCCAUUCAGGCAGUUUCUUUGCUCACAGCUCUGCCUUACUGAUGAACCUCAGCUUCAUCCUGGCUGUGUGGAUGAACCUUAUCCACAGGCCACUGGGAACCACAUGGAGCUCAUCUCCCUGUCACCUGGAGCCCAUCCCAACAAGAUCUCCAUUAUAGGAGAUAUAGGGCAUGGUGUCCCUCUUUGGUGCAGUGAUGACUCCAGUCCCAACAAAUUUCCCAUAACUACGUAUAUUUUCUAUAUUUAUGUCUUGAUAUGCUUAGACUCCCUAUUGGUUGUUCCCUCUUGUAAAGCCAUUGGUGCUUCUUGGAAGCACAUAUUGAUGGGUGCCUAUUACUUAUCAAGCUCUGUUGCAUGUAUUUUGUGGAGUCCCCUCAUGGAAACCAAGAGCUGCAGCCAAUGUGUAGGAAAAUGGGAAAAGAAAGGGUGAACCUCACACCAGUGGUGAUCAGUUAUCACCAUGAUAUCAGUUAUAUCAGAUAUAGAUAUCUAAUAUAUAUAUAGAUAUCUGAUAUAUAGAUAUAUAUAUAUCAGUUAUCAGUCAUGAAAGCCCAUUGUAACAGCAUUAUCAGGGGUUUCCAGGUGUAGGGUUUGAGAAUAACAUAAGAAUGAUACAGGGCAUUCAUUUGCAGCCUGGAGGCACUGUUACAGUUGACUCUAUUCCUGUCCCAGCAUUGUCUGAUGGACAGCAUCACUCCAAGGCAGUGAAAUCCUAACUGUUAUUAAAAAGGAUUCACCAA
This is a non-coding RNA of Coturnix japonica (Japanese quail), 3565 nucleotides long. Lineage: Eukaryota; Metazoa; Chordata; Aves; Galliformes; Phasianidae. The record is from RefSeq and is a predicted model, not a curated record.